AGGGCGCACGGUGGAUGCCUUGGCACUAGAAGCCGAUGAAGGACGUUACUAACGACGAUAUGCUUUGGGGAGCUGUAAGUAAGCUUUGAUCCAGAGAUUUCCGAAUGGGGAAACCCAGCAUGAGUUAUGUCAUGUUAUCGAUAUGUGAAUACAUAGCAUAUCAGAAGGCACACCCGGAGAACUGAAACAUCUUAGUACCCGGAGGAAGAGAAAGAAAAUUCGAUUCCCUUAGUAGCGGCGAGCGAAACGGGAAGAGCCCAAACCAACAAGCUUGCUUGUUGGGGUUGUAGGACACUCUAUACGGAGUUACAAAGGACGACAUUAGACGAAUCAUCUGGAAAGAUGAAUCAAAGAAGGUAAUAAUCCUGUAGUCGAAAAUGUUGUCUCUCUUGAGUGGAUCCUGAGUACGACGGAGCACGUGAAAUUCCGUCGGAAUCUGGGAGGACCAUCUCCUAAGGCUAAAUACUCUCUAGUGACCGAUAGUGAACCAGUACCGUGAGGGAAAGGUGAAAAGCACCCCGGAAGGGGAGUGAAAUAGAACCUGAAACCGUGUGCUUACAAGUAGUCAGAGCCCGUUAAUGGGUGAUGGCGUGCCUUUUGUAGAAUGAACCGGCGAGUUACGAUUUGAUGCAAGGUUAAGCAGUAAAUGUGGAGCCGUAGCGAAAGCGAGUCUGAAUAGGGCGUUUAGUAUUUGGUCGUAGACCCGAAACCAGGUGAUCUACCCUUGGUCAGGUUGAAGUUCAGGUAACACUGAAUGGAGGACCGAACCGACUUACGUUGAAAAGUGAGCGGAUGAACUGAGGGUAGCGGAGAAAUUCCAAUCGAACCUGGAGAUAGCUGGUUCUCUCCGAAAUAGCUUUAGGGCUAGCCUCAAGUGAUGAUUAUUGGAGGUAGAGCACUGUUUGGACGAGGGGCCCCUCUCGGGUUACCGAAUUCAGACAAACUCCGAAUGCCAAUUAAUUUAACUUGGGAGUCAGAACAUGGGUGAUAAGGUCCGUGUUCGAAAGGGAAACAGCCCAGACCACCAGCUAAGGUCCCAAAAUAUAUGUUAAGUGGAAAAGGAUGUGGCGUUGCCCAGACAACUAGGAUGUUGGCUUAGAAGCAGCCAUCAUUUAAAGAGUGCGUAAUAGCUCACUAGUCGAGUGACACUGCGCCGAAAAUGUACCGGGGCUAAACAUAUUACCGAAGCUGUGGAUUGUCCUUUGGACAAUGGUAGGAGAGCGUUCUAAGGGCGUUGAAGCAUGAUCGUAAGGACAUGUGGAGCGCUUAGAAGUGAGAAUGCCGGUGUGAGUAGCGAAAGACGGGUGAGAAUCCCGUCCACCGAUUGACUAAGGUUUCCAGAGGAAGGCUCGUCCGCUCUGGGUUAGUCGGGUCCUAAGCUGAGGCCGACAGGCGUAGGCGAUGGAUAACAGGUUGAUAUUCCUGUACCACCUAUAAUCGUUUUAAUCGAUGGGGGGACGCAGUAGGAUAGGCGAAGCGUGCGAUUGGAUUGCACGUCUAAGCAGUAAGGCUGAGUAUUAGGCAAAUCCGGUACUCGUUAAGGCUGAGCUGUGAUGGGGAGAAGACAUUGUGUCUUCGAGUCGUUGAUUUCACACUGCCGAGAAAAGCCUCUAGAUAGAAAAUAGGUGCCCGUACCGCAAACCGACACAGGUAGUCAAGAUGAGAAUUCUAAGGUGAGCGAGCGAACUCUCGUUAAGGAACUCGGCAAAAUGACCCCGUAACUUCGGGAGAAGGGGUGCUCUUUAGGGUUAACGCCCAGAAGAGCCGCAGUGAAUAGGCCCAAGCGACUGUUUAUCAAAAACACAGGUCUCUGCUAAACCGUAAGGUGAUGUAUAGGGGCUGACGCCUGCCCGGUGCUGGAAGGUUAAGAGGAGUGGUUAGCUUCUGCGAAGCUACGAAUCGAAGCCCCAGUAAACGGCGGCCGUAACUAUAACGGUCCUAAGGUAGCGAAAUUCCUUGUCGGGUAAGUUCCGACCCGCACGAAAGGCGUAACGAUUUGGGCACUGUCUCAACGAGAGACUCGGUGAAAUCAUAGUACCUGUGAAGAUGCAGGUUACCCGCGACAGGACGGAAAGACCCCGUGGAGCUUUACUGUAGCCUGAUAUUGAAAUUCGGCACAGCUUGUACAGGAUAGGUAGGAGCCUUUGAAACGUGAGCGCUAGCUUACGUGGAGGCGCUGGUGGGAUACUACCCUAGCUGUGUUGGCUUUCUAACCCGCACCACUUAUCGUGGUGGGAGACAGUGUCAGGCGGGCAGUUUGACUGGGGCGGUCGCCUCCUAAAAGGUAACGGAGGCGCUCAAAGGUUCCCUCAGAAUGGUUGGAAAUCAUUCAUAGAGUGUAAAGGCAUAAGGGAGCUUGACUGCGAGACCUACAAGUCGAGCAGGGUCGAAAGACGGACUUAGUGAUCCGGUGGUUCCGCAUGGAAGGGCCAUCGCUCAACGGAUAAAAGCUACCCCGGGGAUAACAGGCUUAUCUCCCCCAAGAGUUCACAUCGACGGGGAGGUUUGGCACCUCGAUGUCGGCUCAUCGCAUCCUGGGGCUGUAGUCGGUCCCAAGG
Molecule: ribosomal RNA, 2558 nt
Filed under: Staphylococcus aureus
Lineage: Bacteria; Bacillati; Bacillota; Bacilli; Caryophanales; Staphylococcaceae
Description: bacterial LSU rRNA
Rfam family: Bacterial large subunit ribosomal RNA
Source: RNAcentral